UGGGGAAUCUUGGACAAUGGGCGCAAGCCUGAUCCAGCCAUGCCGCGUGAGUGAUGAAGGCCCUAGGGUCGUAAAGCUCUUUCAACUGUGAGGAUAAUGACGGUAGCAGUAGAAGAAACCCCGGCUAACACCGUGCCAGCAGCCGCGGAAAUAGGGAGGGGGUUAGCGUUGUACGGAAUUACUGGGCGUAAAGCGCGCGUAGGCGGAUUGGAAAGUUGGGGGUGAAAUCCCAGGGCUCAACCCUGGAACUGCCUCCAAAACUAUCAGUCUAGAGUUCGAGAGAGGUGAGUGGAACUCCGAGUGUAGAGGUGAAAUUCGUAGAUAUUCGGAAGAACACCAGUGGCGAAGGCGGCUCACUGGCUCGAUACUGACGCUGAGGUGCGAAAGUGUGGGGAGCAAACAGGAUUAGAUACCCGUGUAGUCC
Molecule: ribosomal RNA, 424 nt
Filed under: uncultured prokaryote
Description: bacterial SSU rRNA
Rfam family: Bacterial small subunit ribosomal RNA
Source: RNAcentral